UAGGGAAUCUUCGGCAAUGGGGGGAACCCUGACCGAGCAACGCCGCGUGAGUGAAGAAGGUUUUCGGAUCGUAAAGCUCUGUUGUUAAGGAAGAACGAGUGUGAGAAUGGAAAGUUCAUGCUGUGACGGUACUUAACCAGAAAGGGACGGCUAACUACGUGCCAGCAGCCGCGGGAAUACGUAGGUCCCGAGCGUUGUCCGGAUUUAUUGGGCGUAAAGCGAGCGCAGGCGGUUAGAAAAGUCUGAAGUGAAAGGCAGUGGCUCAACCAUUGUAGGCUUUGGAAACUGUUUAACUUGAGUGCAGAAGGGGAGAGGGGAAUUCCAUGUGUAGCGGUGAAAUGCGUAGAUAUAUGGAGGAACACCGGUGGCGAAAGCGGCUCUCUGGUCUGUAACUGACGCUGAGGCUCGAAAGCGUGGGGAGCGAACAGG
Molecule: ribosomal RNA, 429 nt
Filed under: Bacteroidota bacterium
Lineage: Bacteria; Pseudomonadati; Bacteroidota
Description: Bacteroidetes bacterium partial 16S ribosomal RNA
Rfam family: Bacterial small subunit ribosomal RNA
Source: RNAcentral